UACAGAGGUCGCAAGCGUUGUUCGGAUUUACUGGGCGUAAAGGGCGCGUAGGCGGCAGGGCGUGUCAAGUGUGAAAUCUCCGGGCCCAACCCGGAAAGUGCGCUUGAAACUACCCUGCUGGAGUCUGGAAGAGGGAAUCGGAAUGCGGGGUGUAGCGGUGAAAUGCGUUGAUAUCCUGCAGAACACCGGAGGCGAAGGCGGAUUCCUUGUACAGCACUGACGCUGAGGCGCGAAAGUCGGGGGAGCAAAC
Molecule: ribosomal RNA, 250 nt
Filed under: uncultured prokaryote
Description: partial 16S ribosomal RNA
Rfam family: Bacterial small subunit ribosomal RNA
Source: RNAcentral